This 391-nucleotide ribosomal RNA is filed under the name uncultured Bacteroidota bacterium. RNAcentral describes it as "bacterial SSU rRNA". It matches the Rfam family "Bacterial small subunit ribosomal RNA", at positions 30 to 417 of the family's 1533-position model. The record is from RNAcentral. Lineage: Bacteria; Pseudomonadati; Bacteroidota.
AUUGAACGCUGGCGGCACGCUUUACACAUGCAAGUCGAACGGUAACAUUGGUGCUUGCACCAGAUGACGAGUGGCGCACGGGUGCGUAACGCGUAUGCAACCUACCUUUUACUAGAGUAUAGCCCAGAGAAAUUUGGAUUAAUCCUCUAUAAUAUCUUUUAAUUUCAUGAUUUUAAGAUUAAAGUUUUAACGGUAAAGAUGGGCAUGCGUCCCAUUAGUUUGUAGGUGAGGUAACGGCUCACCUAGACUACGAUAGGUAGGGGCCCUGAGAGGGGGAUCCCCCAACUGGUACUGAGACACGGACCAGACUCCUACGGGGAGCAGCAGUAAGGAAUAUUGGGACAAUGGACGAAAGUCUGAUCCAGCCAUGCCGCGUGCAGGAUGACAGCCC